This 266-nucleotide long non-coding RNA is filed under the name Brassica napus (rape). RNAcentral's name for it is "long non-coding RNA (BNAP_LNC023231)". Lineage: Eukaryota; Viridiplantae; Streptophyta; Magnoliopsida; Brassicales; Brassicaceae. The record is from RNAcentral.
GAAUCUGGAGCUGGUUAGCCAAGAGCGUUUUCCAGAAUCGCACUCUUUGGCUUGCUGCAUAAUUAUUUUGAUAUCUUUCUUACGGAAAUGGGAGAGUUAUUACAUAAUGCAUACUUGGAUUUAACGGCUGAUCAAGUGUUCUUAAUACUUUUAUUUAAGAUUUAUAAUCUCAUUGCCAGACAUAAAGAACAUAACAAAAAUAUGAAUCUUCUAUUCUUGAAUAUUUUAAAAAAUUUAACAUAGAGAACAUAACCAAUCUUUUCAUA